Long non-coding RNA from Alligator sinensis (Chinese alligator), 1112 nucleotides. RefSeq lists it as uncharacterized. The record is from RefSeq and is a predicted model, not a curated record. The transcript has 5 exons. NCBI's taxonomy places the organism in Eukaryota, Metazoa, Chordata, Crocodylia, Alligatoridae.
GCCCGGGCUCCCCCCGCGCCCGCAGCCCCGGCCCUGGUGCAGGCGGAGCUCGCUGCCGAGCGGCCAUUUGCGAGCGCGGAGCCGCGGCCGCUCCGGUUGCCUCUCCCCAGGCUGGGGAGCCGGGCACUGCCUGCUCGGAGGUGCCGGCUCCGGGGCGCUCGAGGAGCACGCCCCAUUAAACUUUCCAACACGCCGGGUAGAAACAUGUGUGAUGUACACUUGUCAGCCUGGACAGACUGAAUCUCAAUCACACACUCAACUAUUUGGAGAAAGAAAAGUUUCAAAAUGACUCUUUACAAGUGUUGACUGAACCUCACGCAUCCAUUCAAUCAGAGAACAGAGAUGCUACCAUGUGACUCGCCCAGCCAAUCAUAACCAGCCAUCUCCUCACUCACCUCUUCUUGAACACAUCUCUUCUCCAUCUCCUGAGUUCCUCAAAGGCACAGAUGGCCCUCCUCAGUCUUCACCACAGGAGACUCCUUUCAGUGUCGUCUCGGCCUCUGAGACCAACCUGCAGCUCCCUUCUUUGCAGGCAAGGCCCAGCAGCACCAGCUUCUCUUGCUGCUUCUCCUGGACCAAGUCUCCUGGAAGGCAGCAGGACAGAAAUAUUUACAUUAAAUCAGGAAAAGGCAGAAGAAGAAGAAUACAGCUGUACAAGGUGGCUGGGAUAGCAUGGUGAGCAAAACCCAUGAAAGCAGAGCUGGCUGGCAAAUGAGUCGUGGUAAUGUGGCACUUUUGUUAAAAUGUUGACACGUUUCAAACUUCUCCACCUAGUGUCACAGCAGAGCAAGAAAGAAAGGUCCUGAUACUGUGAUGUGAUCCAUGUAGGCAGACCCCAGCAGAGAUCCACGGAAGUCAGCCAAAAUCCACAUGGAUAUGAGAGGUUUUCCAUUGCACAGAACUCACUGUAGGAUGGAAGCCAAAGUUAAUCCUGUUUGCCUGCUGCAUGUAUAACUUUGUAUCACUCAGCAGGGAAAUAAAACCCUUAAAGCACUGAGUUGGUUGGAAUUUCUCCUUUGUGUUUUAAAUGAAAUGUGGCCUUUUGGAUGAGAUUUGACACAUUCACAGAAAAGAUAAAAUAUUUGGCUAAUUGACUUUUUUUCUCUCAGUGU